AUUGAACGCUGGCGGCAUGCCUUACACAUGCAGGUCGAACGGUAACAGGUCUUCGGAUGCCGACGAGUGGCGAACGGGUGAGUAAUACAUCGGAACGUGCCUAGUAGUGGGGAAUAACUACUCGAAAGAGUGGCUAAUACCGCAUGAGAUCUACGGAUGAAAGCAGGGGAUCGCAAGACCUUGUGCUACUAGAGCGGCCGAUGGCAGAUUAGGUAGUUGGUGGGAUAAAAGCUUACCAAGCCGACGAUCUGUAGCUGGUCUGAGAGGACGAUCAGCCACACUGGGACUGAGACACGGCCCAGACUCCUACGGGAGGCAGCAGUGGGGAAUUUUGGACAAUGGGCGCAAGCCUGAUCCAGCAAUGCCGCGUGCAGGAUGAAGGCCUUCGGGUUGUAAACUGCUUUUGUACGGAACGAAAAGCCCUGGGUUAAUACCCUGGGGUCAUGACGGUACCGUAAGAAUAAGCACCGGCUAACUACGUGCCAGCCGCCGCCGUAA
RNAcentral lists this ribosomal RNA (498 nucleotides) under uncultured bacterium. RNAcentral describes it as "partial 16S ribosomal RNA". It matches the Rfam family "Bacterial small subunit ribosomal RNA", at positions 30 to 523 of the family's 1533-position model. The record is from RNAcentral.